RNAcentral lists this ribosomal RNA (250 nucleotides) under uncultured prokaryote. Its description in RNAcentral is "partial 16S rRNA". It matches the Rfam family "Bacterial small subunit ribosomal RNA", at positions 525 to 775 of the family's 1533-position model. The record is from RNAcentral.
ACGGAGGAUGCAAGCGUUAUCCGGAUUAAUUAGGUUUAAAGGGUGCGUAGACGGAGACUUAAGUCAGAGGUAAAAGGCAAUAGCUUAACUAAUGUAAGCCAUUGAUACUGGGUUUCUUGAGUUCGGUAGAGGUAGGCGGAAUGUGUUGUGUAGCGGUGAAAUGCAUAGAUAUAACGCAGAACACCGAUUGCGAAGGCAACUUACUAUUCUGUUACUGACGUUGAUGCACGAAAGCGUGGGGAUCAAACAG